Molecule: long non-coding RNA, 458 nt
Filed under: Rattus norvegicus (Norway rat)
Lineage: Eukaryota; Metazoa; Chordata; Mammalia; Rodentia; Muridae
Description: long non-coding RNA NONRATT029685
Source: RNAcentral
GACGCUCCGAGGCGCGGCGCCGGGGCCGCCGCUGCUAUAUAGGGCGGAGGCUCCAAUCCCGCCGAGACACGUCAGACCGGCCGCCCGCCCCGCCCGCUGCGGGGUCCCUACAGCGCCCGGGAGCCGACCAACUCUUUAAGAGUUCUGCGGCCUGACAGGGGGAACAUGGUCUAAGAAUGGAGUCCUGUGAGUGCUUUGAGAAGACUCUAAGGAAAGUCUUAUGGCCACAGUUUCUUCAGAAUGCAGAAUUUUUCCUGGACUGUGUUUUGUGUUCCUCAGGGUGUAGCAGAGUGAGUUUACUUCAGAUUAUUCAUUACUGCUUGCUGAUGUUAUUGAAUUAAAUGCUUAAACUAUCCUUUACAUGACUCUCUGGUUUUGCCAUGUUCAGCUUGUCCUUGUGACUGUACACUUUAUUCAUGUGACUCUUAACCUUAUGAGUAAAAAUGUCUGAUGCUCUG